Molecule: long non-coding RNA, 670 nt
Filed under: Callithrix jacchus (white-tufted-ear marmoset)
Lineage: Eukaryota; Metazoa; Chordata; Mammalia; Primates; Cebidae
Description: lncRNA (ENSCJAG00000057358.2)
Source: RNAcentral
CUAAAUUCUGCAUUCCAAUAAGCUGCAUAGUGAUACAGACUACACUGUGAGUAACAAGGCCCUAAACCACUUUCUGUCACUGACAUGAAGCACCUUCUUCCCACAUUUCUCACUAAUCUGAAAGUUCCCACUACUGUAGCUGGCAAGGCACUGCUACAUGUCAAAGUUCAAAGAGGUUGUCUGCAAGCUGAGGAGCAAGGAACCGAGUCUGAGUCCCACUGAGUCCCAGAGCUGAAGAACUUGGCAUCCAAUGUUCCAGAUUGUGAUCUGGAUAAGAGCAAAUGCCAAUCAAGUUACUGAAUGCCUCCUUAGUAAGAGGAAAUCAGAGACAGUAUAAGCUGAAUAAAAUUAUAAAGAUGCUUCAUAAAAAGCAUCCAUGUUCACAAAGCCAACGUGGAGAACAUUCUACAAAAGUAUUGAUCUGUACUAAACAGAGAAAGGCAGAGGAACCUGUCCAGAUAAGAGAAAGCUAAGAAAAGACAUUCAACAAUUGAAGGUAAUGGAUUUCAUCCUGGGUCAAGAAAAGCAAAACCCUUCAUGACAUUAUUUGGUCAAUAUGCAAAAUUGAAAUAUAGAAUGUAGAUAAGACAGUACAUUAAAUUUGCUGAAUUUGAUAGCUGCAUUGUCAUGUGCAAUAAUGUCUUUGUCCUUAGAAAAUACUCAUUAAAAU